CCAUAAUCAUUCAAUCCAUAAUUGAGACUGAAACCACCGUCUAUUUUUUUUUCUUGAAUUUUGGAUAUAGUAAUUUAUCAAAUUCUCAUUUACCAAAAUUUGUUUCAUAUUCCAUUAAUAUGCAAUCAAAUUUUGUGUAGAGAUGAUAAUUGAAACUUCAACCAUAAAAUCAUAUAUUUCCUUUCUGUUUGAGAAAAUAAGCGAAUUCUUUAUAAGCUAAACAAAAAGUAUUUUCGUUCAUGUACCGAAUAACGAAAGGAAGGCAGAAAAGGCAAAAUAUAAAAUAAAACGGGGAAACAUUAAAUAUGAAAUCACGGAUGGCUACCCCCUACCACUAAUUCGUCACAAGAGAUUCCUCACUUGGAGCGUCUUGUUCUUGCACAUAUCUCCAUAUGUUGAUAAUAUUUAUAUUUCUUCUCAUUCUUCAAAACUAAAACACAAAGAGAGACGAAAAAUGGCGGAAGAAUCUCCAAAGUCUAUCUACGACUUCACCGUCAAGGAUAUUGAAGGUAAGGAUGUGAGUUUGAGCCAAUUCAAAGGCAAAACUCUUCUGAUUGUAAAUGUUGCCUCCAAAUGUGGCUUGACGGAUGCGAACUACAAGGAACUCAAUGUUCUGUAUGAUAAAUACAAGGAACAAGGUUUGUUACCCAUGUAU
Raphanus sativus (radish) is the source of this 655-nucleotide RNA transcript. RefSeq lists it as uncharacterized. Lineage: Eukaryota; Viridiplantae; Streptophyta; Magnoliopsida; Brassicales; Brassicaceae. The record is from RefSeq and is a predicted model, not a curated record. The transcript has 3 exons.